UACGGAGGGUGCAAGCGUUGUUCGGAAUCAUUGGGCGUACAGCGCGUGUAGGUGGCUUGGCAAGUCGGUUGUGAAAUCCCGGGGCCCAACCCCGGAACUGCAUUCGAAACUGCCUCGCUAGAGUCCCGGAGAGGAAGGCGGAAUUCCCGGUGUAGAGGUGAAAUUCGUAGAUAUCGGGAGGAACACCAGCGGCGAAGGCGGCCUUCUGGACGGUGACUGACACUGAGACGCGAAAGCGUGGGGAGCAAACAGG
This 253-nucleotide ribosomal RNA is filed under the name uncultured bacterium. RNAcentral's name for it is "partial 16S ribosomal RNA". It matches the Rfam family "Bacterial small subunit ribosomal RNA", at positions 524 to 776 of the family's 1533-position model. The record is from RNAcentral.